ACACAGGCAGCUCUAGCGGUAGCAAUUUUUAUUGGGCCUAAAGCGUCCGUAGCCGGUUUAAUAAGUCUCUGGUGAAAUCCUGUAGCUUAACUAUGGGAAUUGCUGGAGAUACUAUUAGACUUGAGACCGGGAGAGGUUAGAGGAACUCCCAGGGUAGAGGUGAAUUUCUGUAAUCCUGGGAGGACCGCCUGUUGCGAAGGCGUCGAACGGGAACGGUCCUGACGGUGAUGGACGGAAGUUAAGGGCGCGAACCGGAUUGGAUACCCAGGUAGUCCUAACUGUAAACGAUGCCGACUUGGUGUUGGGGUGGCGUUGAGCUUCUCCAGUGCCGAACGGAAGCUGUUUAGUGCGGCGCCUGGGAAGUACGGUCGCAAGACGGAAACUUAAAGGAAUUGACGCGG
This 401-nucleotide ribosomal RNA is filed under the name uncultured bacterium. RNAcentral's name for it is "partial 16S ribosomal RNA". It matches the Rfam family "Archaeal small subunit ribosomal RNA", at positions 473 to 873 of the family's 1478-position model. The record is from RNAcentral.